RNAcentral lists this ribosomal RNA (1250 nucleotides) under Candidatus Phytoplasma trifolii. Its description in RNAcentral is "bacterial SSU rRNA". It matches the Rfam family "Bacterial small subunit ribosomal RNA", at positions 155 to 1399 of the family's 1533-position model. Lineage: Bacteria; Bacillati; Mycoplasmatota; Mollicutes; Acholeplasmatales; Acholeplasmataceae. The record is from RNAcentral.
AACGACUGCUAAGACUGGAUAGGAAACAAAAAGGCAUCUUUUUGUUUUUAAAAGACCUUCUUAUGAUAGGUAUGCUUAAAGAGGGGCUUGCGCCACAUUAGUUAGUUGGUAGGGUAAAAGCCUACCAAGACGAUGAUGUGUAGCUGGACUGAGAGGUUGAACAGCCACAUUGGGACUGAGACACGGCCCAAACUCCUACGGGAGGCAGCAGUAGGGAAUUUUCGGCAAUGGAGGAAACUCUGACCGAGCAACGCCGCGUGAACGAUGAAGUAUUUCGGUAUAUAAAGUUCUUUUAUUGAAGAAGAAAAAGUAGUGGAAAAACUAUAUUGACGUUAUUCAAUGAAUAAGCCCCGGCUAACUAUGUGCCAGCAGCCGCGGUAAGACAUAGGGGGCGAGCGUUAUCCGGAAUUAUUGGGCGUAAAGGGUGCGUAGGCUGUUAGAUAAGUCUAUAAUUUAAUUUCAGUGCUUAACGCUGUCUUGUUAUAGAAACUGUCUUGGCUAGAGUGAGAUAGAGGCAAGCGGAAUUCCAUGUGUAGCGGUAAAAUGUGUAAAUAUAUGGAGGAACACCAGAAGCGUAGGCGGCUUGCUGGGUCUUUACUGACGCUGAAGCACGAAAGCGUGGGUAGCAAACAGGAUUAGAUACCCUGGUAGUCCACGCCGUAAACGAUGAGGUACUAAGGGUCGGGGUAAAACUCGGUACUGAAGUUAACACAUUAAGUACUCCGCCUGAGUAGUACGUACGCAAGUAUGAAACUUAAAGGAAUUGACGGGACUCCGCACAAGCGGUGGAUCAUGUUGUUUAAUUCGAAGAUACACGAAAAAAUCUUACCAGGUCUUGACAUACUCUGCAAAGCUAUAGAAAUAUAGUGGAGGUUAUCAGGGAUACAGGUGGUGCGUGGUUGUCGUCAGUUCGUGUCGUGAGAUGUUAGGUUAAGUCCUAAAACGAGCGCAACCCUUGUCGUUAAUUGCCAGCACGUAAUGGUGGGACUUUAGCGAGACUGCCAAUUAAACAUUGGAGGAAGGUGAGGAUUACGUCAAAUCAUCAUGCCCCUUAUGAUCUGGGCUACAAACGUGAUACAAUGGCUGUGACAAAGAGUAGCUGAAACGCGAGUUUUUAGCCAAUCUCAAAAAAGCAGUCUCAGUUCGGAUUGAAGUCUGUAACUCGACUUCAUGAAGUUGGAAUCGCUAGUAAUCGCGAAUCAGCAUGUCGCGGUGAAUACGUUCUCGGGGUUUGUACACACCGCCCGUCA